Molecule: long non-coding RNA, 359 nt
Filed under: Nicotiana benthamiana
Lineage: Eukaryota; Viridiplantae; Streptophyta; Magnoliopsida; Solanales; Solanaceae
Description: long non-coding RNA (NBEN_LNC039957)
Source: RNAcentral
CUUGGGUUAUGUAACUCUUUUGUUAUAAAGUGGGGGUUAUGGUUCCCACAUUAUUGCAAGACAAGACUCUUCUUCCUCCCAUUGAAUCAAGAGCAACAACACCAUUGUUGUCUUGCAAAUAAUUGUGGAAAACCAUAUACCAACCUUUGGUAAUUGUCAUAUUAUUAUUGUAAAACUAUACACAUACUGUCUUUGCCUUGUGAGGGAUUAUUGUGGUGAUACAAACUUCAAGAAAUCUUAAAGAAAAGGAUCAAGGAGUUCACAAGGACAUUUGGACAAUCAUCAAAGGAGGUUCCACAAUUUCCACACAUGGAUUCAGGUUAGCUUCCGCUCAUGUAGUUUUAAUUUCGAAUUGUUCA